GAUGAAGAACGUAGUGAAAUGCGAUAAGUAAUGUGAAUUGCAGAAUUCAGUGAAUCAUCGAAUCUUUGAACGCACAUUGCGCCCGCCAGGAUUCUGGCGGGCAUGCCUGUUCGAGCGUCAUUUCAACCAUCAAGCCCCCGGCUUGUGUUGGGGACCUGCGGCUGCCGCAGGCCCUGAAAACCAGUGGCGGGCUCGCUAGUCACUCCGAGCGUAGUAAUACAUCUCGCUCAGGGCGUGCUGCGGGUUCCGGCCGUUAAAAGCCUUAUUUACCCAAGGUUGACCUCGGAUCAGGUAGGAAGACCCGCUGAACUUAAGCAUAUCAAUAAGCGGAGGA
This 334-nucleotide unclassified non-coding RNA is filed under the name soil metagenome. RNAcentral's name for it is "partial contains 5.8S ribosomal RNA, internal transcribed spacer 2, and large subunit ribosomal RNA". The stretch from base 1 to 120 matches the Rfam family "5.8S ribosomal RNA", at positions 35 to 154 of the family's 154-position model. The record is from RNAcentral.